CAGGAGCUGCAGCUCUGCGGGAGAGCUGAGCAGCAGGGUCAAUGAUGGUGGUUUGGCUGGCUGCAAUGAUGUGAGGGGAGAGAGAGAGUCCAGACAGCAGUAUGACUGAGAGUCAGCACUGUGUGGAGUUUGGAUUAUAAGCCGCCCUAUUCUCGAUAUCCAUCUAUUGACAAAAGUGGGGGACUAGAUUUGCUGAACAAAAGUACGACAAGCCACAGGCACAAAACAAAAGCCAAAUGAUAAAGCUAUAGAGAAUAUCAGCUUGACUUGGAUGCACUAAAAAGAGUAAAGGAAGAUCAUCAGUUGGCUCAGAGGCUCCUUGACAACAACCCUCUUUUCUAUGGAUGGGCAUUUCUACAUCUAACCGAUGCACAGCUGGAUACUGGCUUGUUGAGGUUGUUGCCUAUUCCUGACUGGCACACAAUUAGGGUACUUAUAUGCAACGAUAACAGGAGACAGAAAAGCAGGAGCGGCAGAAACAGCAUGUUACAGACCAAAUCAAGAAUCUGCACGAAAACGUGCCUGAGUUGCAGCAGAGUCUGUCAAUCCCAGAUCAACCUCAUCAGCCAUCUUCAGACCCACAGAUAA
RNAcentral lists this long non-coding RNA (588 nucleotides) under Crocodylus porosus (Australian saltwater crocodile). RNAcentral describes it as "lncRNA (ENSCPRG00005006148.1)". The record is from RNAcentral. Lineage: Eukaryota; Metazoa; Chordata; Crocodylia; Crocodylidae.